RNAcentral lists this ribosomal RNA (443 nucleotides) under uncultured bacterium. Its description in RNAcentral is "bacterial SSU rRNA". It matches the Rfam family "Bacterial small subunit ribosomal RNA", at positions 958 to 1400 of the family's 1533-position model. The record is from RNAcentral.
AACGCGAAGAACCUUACCUACCCUUGACAUCCACAGAAUUUUACAGAGAUGUAGAAGUGCCGAAAGGAACUGUGAGACAGGUGCUGCAUGGCUGUCGUCAGCUCGUGUUGUGAGAUGUUGGGUUAAGUCCCGUAACGAGCGCAACCCUUAUCCUUAGUUACCAGCAUGUAAUGGUGGGGACUCUAAGGAGACUGCCGGUGAUGAACCGGAGGAAGGCGGGGACGACGUCAAGUCAUCAUGGCCUUUAUGGGUAGGGCUACACACGUGCUACAAUGGGCAGUACAGAGAGUCGCCAACCUGCGAAGGGGAGCCAAUCUCAGAAAGCUGCUCGUAGUCCGGAUUGGAGUCUGCAACUCGACUCCAUGAAGUUGGAAUCGCUAGUAAUCGCGAAUCAGAAUGUCGCGGUGAAUACGUUCCCGGGCCUUGUACACACCGCACUACUA